UCAUGGCGUCGCAAGAUGACA
This 21-nucleotide unclassified non-coding RNA is filed under the name Chlamydomonas reinhardtii. Its description in RNAcentral is "small RNA Cre_2530". The record is from RNAcentral. Lineage: Eukaryota; Viridiplantae; Chlorophyta; Chlorophyceae; Chlamydomonadales; Chlamydomonadaceae.